CAUAUCAGUAGUUUCGGUAUACAUAAUAUUUACAUAAACUAACUUACCCUAUAACCAGUGCCAUCCCAAAUUCUCACUGAAAACAAUGGCCUUAAUAAUAAGGAAUAUAAUUAAUAGUUAGACACAGUUACUUGAUUAAAAGCAAUAUAAUAAUAAUCGCCAUUAAACAAGAACCGUGGUGGAUUUAAACAAAAGUGACAUAUUAUUCUAAAAAUUAGAAUACCUACGCUGAUUUCCAUAAUACAACUUUCUUUUCCCGUCCGUGUUUUGUAAUAUCGUUCGCCGCGCUACAGAAACACACAAUAAUAAUAAUAAUAAUAAUAAUAAUAAUAAUAAUUGCAAAAGUCCAUUUUAUCGCACCAAGUAAUAAGAAGAGACGAAAUGCAGACUCAUAAAAAUGUAUUAUAAUAUAUAACA
Non-coding RNA from Cinara cedri, 417 nucleotides. NCBI's taxonomy places the organism in Eukaryota, Metazoa, Arthropoda, Insecta, Hemiptera, Aphididae. The record is from the annotation of a GenBank genome assembly.